GGAUUUCUUGCUUCCUAGGUUUUUACUAAAACUUAUCUCCUUGGUUUUCACUAAAAUUUAAGGUUACUAAGGAUAAGAAUUAUAAUUAAUAUAUAGUUAUUUAUACAAAGUUAUUUUUGAAACACACUAGUAAGGAACUAGGAAGUAGAGAAGAGAGAUGUGAAGAAAGUAAUAUAUAUGAAGACAUAUUUUUGGUAAGAAAAGUUGUAAAAAAGAUAAUAAUUUUAUAUGAGAAAAGAUGCCAUGUGGUUAAUUUUUUGACCUAAGGUUAAAUGACUGGUUAUUUAAAGGAGGAGGAAAUCUGAGACUGAACGGAAAACCCAGCCAUGUUGCAGAUUGUCUGGGGUGCUGUGGAUCAUUCCUGUAAUUCAGCACUUUGAGAGGCCUAGGUGGCUGGAUCACCAGAGGUCAGGGGUUCAAGACCAGCCUGCCCAAAUUGGUGAAACCCUGUUUUUACUAAAAAUACAAAAAAAUUAGCCAGGCAUGGUGGUGGAUACCUAUAAUUCCAGCUACUUGGGAGGCUGAGGCAGGAGAAUGGCUUGAACGCAGGAGGUGGAGGUUGCCAUGAGCUGAGCUUUCACCACUGCAC
RNAcentral lists this long non-coding RNA (589 nucleotides) under Callithrix jacchus (white-tufted-ear marmoset). Its description in RNAcentral is "lncRNA (ENSCJAG00000061495.2)". Lineage: Eukaryota; Metazoa; Chordata; Mammalia; Primates; Cebidae. The record is from RNAcentral.